AAUAUGUCCCAUUUUUAGGUUAAUAAGCUUAAUGAGCUAUAUAAAGAGAGUUCUGAGGAAUGGUCAAAAAAAGCAGCAGACCUAGAGGGUGUGAUAAAAGCGGUGGAGUCACGGCUAGAGCAAGUUGAAGAUGAUUAUAAAGAGAAACUUGAGAAGGAAUUAUCUGCCAGAAAACAGGUUGAAAAGGAAGCCACUGAUU
Non-coding RNA from Cajanus cajan (pigeon pea), 199 nucleotides. The record is from RefSeq and is a predicted model, not a curated record. NCBI's taxonomy places the organism in Eukaryota, Viridiplantae, Streptophyta, Magnoliopsida, Fabales, Fabaceae.